RNAcentral lists this ribosomal RNA (253 nucleotides) under uncultured bacterium. RNAcentral describes it as "partial 16S ribosomal RNA". It matches the Rfam family "Bacterial small subunit ribosomal RNA", at positions 524 to 776 of the family's 1533-position model. The record is from RNAcentral.
UACGUAGGGGGCAAGCGUUGUCCGGAAUCAUUGGGCGUAAAGAGCGUGUAGGCGGCCCGAUAAGUCCGCUGUGAAAGUCGAGGGCUCAACCCUCGAAUGCCGGCGGAUACUGUCGGGCUAGAGUCCGGAAGAGGCGAGUGGAAUUCCUGGUGUAGCGGUGAAAUGCGCAGAUAUCAGGAGGAACACCAAUUGCGAAGGCAGCUCGCUGGGACGUUACUGACGCUGAGACGCGAAAGCGUGGGGAGCAAACAGG